UACAGAAAGAUUUGGUCUCCAAGGAUUUGGU
RNAcentral lists this non-coding RNA (31 nucleotides) under Rattus norvegicus (Norway rat). Lineage: Eukaryota; Metazoa; Chordata; Mammalia; Rodentia; Muridae. The record is from RNAcentral.